RNAcentral lists this ribosomal RNA (376 nucleotides) under uncultured Rikenellaceae bacterium. RNAcentral describes it as "bacterial SSU rRNA". It matches the Rfam family "Bacterial small subunit ribosomal RNA", at positions 1011 to 1382 of the family's 1533-position model. The record is from RNAcentral. Lineage: Bacteria; Pseudomonadati; Bacteroidota; Bacteroidia; Bacteroidales; Rikenellaceae.
CUGCGCCAGCGAUGGCCGGUUGUCGAGGUGCUGCAUGGUUGUCGUCAGCUCGUGCCGUGAGGUGUCGGGUUAAGGUCCCAUAACGAGCGCAACCCCUACCUGCUAGUUGCCAGCGGGUCAUGCCGGGGACGUCUAGCGGAACUGCCAGCGUAAGCUGCGAGGAAGGUGGGGAGUGACGUCAAAUCAGCACGGCCCUUACGUCCAGGGCUACACACGUGUUACAAUGGCCAGUACAGAGGGCAGCCACCCCGCGAGGGGGCGCUAAUCCUAAAAGCUGGUCCCAGUUCGGAUCGGAGUCUGCAACCCGACUCCGUGAAGCUGGAUUCGCUAGUAAUCGCGCAUCAGCCACGGCGCGGUGAAUACGUUCCCGGGCCUU